AAGGCAUUGAGGUAAUGACAGUUCAUGAAAACAUUUUUGAAGGUCACUUAGCAGUAGCUGGUUUCAUAUGCAGCUGGUAAUGCUGCUGUCAUCAAGUAUGAGGAGAAGCCCCCAAAACCGGCAUUUCAGAAUGGCUCAGGAUCCUUAUGUUUGAAGACUUUGGUACCCAGAGCUCAUGUACACUUACUAAAAACUCCUACAAAAGGUUCUUCAAGGAAAAAUCUCUUCACACCUUUUAAUGCAGGUGAGUGACCACUUUAAAUAUAGAUGGAGAAAAAGGAAUCUUUCUUUUGUAAUGUCAUAUUACCAUUAAAAUAUUUAGAUUUAUUUAUAGUGACUUUUCAUUGGUAUGCUUGCAAGUAGAUAUCAGGUUUGAGAUAUGAAUGACUGCUUAUGACAUGUACUGGCAUAGCAUUAAUCAGGAGCUUAGAUUUUUCUGUUCUCUUUUCUUUUGGACAUACAUCUUUUUUCUAAGACAAUAUGACGCUUCAACUGUUUGAACCACAAAUGAGAAUUAAAAUCUUUUGCCACUUGAGAAGCCAUACAGUUCACAUAAUGUAUUCAUUACAAAUCCUAUGUUAUAUGUAAUUGAUCAUAUUCCUUGGAUACUACCUACAUUCUCUUAUUUUAUGUGCACUUAGAAAAUAGUUCUGUGAACUCUAAAUCCCUUAAAUAUUAAACAGUAAGUCAGAAGAGAGAAAGGUAUGAUUGGCUCAUAUUGAUGUUCUGUGACCCUGUUAGACAUCAAGGAUGUAGUUGUGAGACCAAAAUGAGCAAAGGCCUUGACUUUGGGGAACUUACAGGACAAAGAACUGCACAAAAGAGCAGGAGUCAAAAUCUCAAUGAUUUCUAGAGAAGCAAGGCUCAGUGAUUUCUGUGCUCCUGGGGGAGGUCUUGAAUGAAGGAUGUGACCUAGGGAGGGAAAACUGAGCAGGAGUACAAGCUUAUGAGUGUCUUGUAUAAAGAAAAUAGAGUGGUACCCUUCAUUCAGGGAAUAACUAGUAUCUUUGCCCUACCAGAUGUAUUCAUUUUCCUCAGCUUAGAAGGGCAAAGAGGUGUGAAGGAAUUAUAUGAAACUUGUUAAUCUUUUUUAAGUUCUUAAAGCUAGAGAAAACUCCACCAUGCAGAAUGAUUUAAAUUCUAAACAUCCCCAAUACCCUGAGUUUGAAUAUAUAUGAUUAUUCAAAUGAAGUUUGAAAAACAGAAGUUGUUCUGUGUAGAUUUUGGUUUUUGUAUUCUUUUGUUUCACAUUUCUAGCACAGACUAAUAUUUAGGAGGAAAAAUAGGUAGCUAAUAUUCUGUACAAAAACUUUUUGUUGGAAAGCCAGUUACUCACUAUCAGAAAGCUGGAUCAUAUGGUAACUCUAUGUGUAACAGUUGGAGAAACUUCCCGACUGUUUUCCAAAGAACCUAUACCAUUUUCUGUAUCACCAGCAGUGUGUAAGGGUCCAAUUUCUCCACAUUCUUGCUAACACUUGCUUUUGUUUAUCUUUUUGCUUAUUGCCAGCCUACUGAUUAUGAAUCUGAUUACGGUUUUGUUUGCAUUUCCUUCCAUGCUAGUGAUGUUGAGCAUUUUUUCAUGUGUUUAUUGGCUAUUUUAAUAUCUUCUUUGAAAAAGUGUCUAUUCAAAUCGUUUGCCCAUUUUAAAAAAUUGGAUUACUUAUAAUGUUGAAUUGUAAGAGUUCUUUAUCUAUUCCAGAUAUUAGACCCUUAUCAGAGAUAGGUUUUGUGGAUAUUUUCUGAAGUUUUAAAAAAACUUUCUUGCUAGUAUCCUCUGAAGCAUAAAUGUUGUUAAUUUUGGUCAGAUCUAGUUCUUUUUUUCUCUUUAGUUUCUUAUUCUUUUGGUGAAAUAUCUCAAAAAACAUUGUCUAAUCCAAGGCUGUGAAGACUUAUGCCUCUACUAAGACUUGUACAGUUUUAACUCUGAAAGUAAUAUUUGAUGAAUUUCAAGUUAAUUUUUAUAUGGUGUGGAGUAGGGGGUCUAGAAUCAUUCUUUUCCAUAUGGACAUCCAGUUGUUAUAAAAACAUUUUCCCUAUUUGAAAUGUCUUGGCACCUUGGUAAAUAAUUGACUGUAAGCAUGAGGAGUUAUUUCUGUGUCCUAAAUUAUAUUCUACUGAUCUGUAUGUCUAUCUUUGCCAACUACAUACCGUCAUGAUUAUUUGAUGUAGUAAGUUUUGAAAUCAUGAAAUGUGAGUCAUCGAAAUUUGUUUUUUCAAGAUUCUUUUGGUUCUUCUGGGUCCCUUGAAUUCUCAUGAAUUUUAGGAUCAGCUUGUCAAUUUCUGUAAAGAAAUCAGCUGUAAGUUUGAUAGGAGUUGUAUUGAAUCUGUAUAUAGAUCUAUGGACUUUUGCCAUCUUAACAUUGUUAAGUAUUCCAUGCCUUAAGUAUAGGAUUUCUUCACAUUUAGUUAGAUCUUUAAUUUCUUUCAACUUUUCAAAAUAAGUUCUGAACACGUCUUUAUUAAGGCUUGUUUUCUUGUAGUGACUCUUCUGUACUUUGGCAGUUGUCAUUGAUUCUAGUAACAGUAAAAUGGCUGCUUAAAUAAAUCUGUUAUAUCUAUUUUAAUCUAUACUAAAUAUAAAACUUUGAAAGAUAAUCAAAAUUCAUGUCGAAAUCUGUGAUCAUGUCAACUAUGACAGGCAUAACAAAUAUUAAUCCUCAAUAUAUCACCUUUCUCUACUGCAGAGAAAAGCUGUAGCAUUAGACAGUUUCCCUUGUUAGAUUGUUGCACUGACAUUUUUCCUUAUUUCAGUGAAUCUUGACAGGUAAGAUUCAUCAAAUGGUAGAUUAACUCCGAAUUAAGUGAGAAAAGAAAUGGAAAGUACUAAUCAUGACAUGGAUUUAACAAAACCUUUGACCAUGAUGUAGAAAUAGGGUAUAUGACAUAGUUCUAGAAUUUCUGUCUCCAAUUAGUCACUAACUUUUUAACAUAAUUUUAAUUAGUGCACUAAUUUUUGCAACAGAAAAGAACAUAUUUUAAGGAGUCUGCAGUAUAGAUUAAUUUAGAUUCUGUGUUAAGGCCCUAUAUUUUCCUAAAAAUCAUAAGCAUGGCUCUUCCAGGUUCUUUGACUUGGUGGUUGGUUAUCAUCAUGGUUUAAGACUGAAUGGUAUCAUGAUGAGCCUAAUGAGAAAAAUAGCACUUUAAGGUGGCUUUUGGAGGAACAACUUUGAUGCUAAGAAUGAUGUCCAAGUAGCCAGUGACUUUGGGUGCAUCUCCAAGCCAUCAAUUUCUGUGUAAUUGGAAAUGUUCUAAGUUUUUCCUUCACUAUGAUAGUCUAUAACUGAGUCACCUUGACUUUCUUUAUAGUCUGCUGGCAAACAGGCAUAUUUUAGAUGGCAAAAAAUAUAUUGCUUCUAUGGACAAACAUUUUCCUUUGAGCAUUCAAUUUGAAAUCAUUUUACUAUAGCAUUGAGAUCAUUUAAUUUUUUAAAGAGCAAACAGUGGUGAAGGUUAUAGUUGGCCAACUUAAUAUCCUUUAAUUUUAGUAGCAUUUUACCAAAUUGCAGAAAGUUCAGCACAUAGAGGUUUUGAAAUCACACUUUAGGGCCUUUUUGUUUCUUGUUUUUGGCAGUGGUGGUGGCUUUUGCAAGAGUGGGGAUUGAACCUAGGAUCUUUCCAUUGAGCUACAUUCCCUGCUUUUUAUUUCGAGACAGAGUCUUGCUCAGUCACUAAGUUGCCCAAGUGAGACUCAAACUUGGGAUCAUUCUGCCUCAUCUUCCCUUUAGUUUUUUAAAUUUAUAACUUUAAAUAAAAUUCAGAUAUCUGUAUAUAUCUUUAUCAUUUAACAUAUAGUGAUCACUUUUCAUAAUGGUUGUAUCUAUCACAUGCAGUAACAUUUAACCACACGUCUUGAAUAUUUGGUAUAUUUCUGUUUUAUAUUCAUGAGUGAUUCUAUGAUCAGCAUAUUUAUAAUUAGCAUUUUCAAAGUUUGGGGAAGUUGUUUUUAACUGUAUAUCCUUUUAUUGGUACAUUUUGGGUAUACAGUAUAAUGACAUUCAUAAUUGGAAAUUUGCACCUUUACAUAAUCUCCUUGGUUCUUAUUUUUCCCCCUUCCCCUGGCCCCCUCUUCAACCCCUUCAUCCCUUCUCAUUUACAAAGACUUUGUUUCCUUUUAUUCAUUUUUUCAUAUUAAUUCCAUUCCCCUCCUUCCUCACUCCUACCCCUCCCAUUCCCCUUUGCCCCUUUUCUUCCUAUUUCACAGUAUCUGUUACACCUUUUCGUCC
This 4223-nucleotide long non-coding RNA is filed under the name Heterocephalus glaber (naked mole-rat). RNAcentral describes it as "lncRNA (ENSHGLG00000050320.1)". Lineage: Eukaryota; Metazoa; Chordata; Mammalia; Rodentia; Bathyergidae. The record is from RNAcentral.